CCUACGGGAGGCAGCAGUGAGGAAUAUUGGUCAAUGGGCGUAAGCCUGAACCAGCCAAGUCGCGUGAGGGAUGAAGGUGCUAUGGAGCGUAAACCUCUGUUAUAAGGGAAUAAAGUGCGGGACGUGUACCGUUUUGUAUGUACCUUAUGAAUAAGGAUCGGCUAACUCCGUGCCAGCAGCCGCGGUAAUACGGAGGAUCCGAGCGUUAGCCGGAUUUCUUGGGGUUAAAGGGUGAGUAGGCGGCCUUUGAAGUCAGCGGGGCAAGUCUGUGGCUCACCCAUAGAAUUGCCGUUGAAACUGGGAGUCUUGCGUAUGUUUGAGGCAGGCCGAAUGCGUGGUGUAGCUGU
Molecule: ribosomal RNA, 347 nt
Filed under: uncultured bacterium
Lineage: Bacteria
Description: partial 16S ribosomal RNA
Rfam family: Bacterial small subunit ribosomal RNA
Source: RNAcentral